GCGGGAAUAGUUCAGUGGUAGAGCGCGACCUUGCCAAGGUCGAAGUCGCGAGUUCGAAUCUCGUUUCCCGCU
This 72-nucleotide transfer RNA is filed under the name Peptostreptococcus anaerobius CAG:621. It matches the Rfam family "tRNA". From Rfam's summary of the family: Transfer RNA (tRNA) molecules are approximately 80 nucleotides in length. Their secondary structure includes four short double-helical elements and three loops (D, anti-codon, and T loops). Lineage: Bacteria; Bacillati; Bacillota; Clostridia; Peptostreptococcales; Peptostreptococcaceae. The record is from Rfam by way of RNAcentral.